This 482-nucleotide ribosomal RNA is filed under the name uncultured bacterium. Its description in RNAcentral is "partial 16S ribosomal RNA". It matches the Rfam family "Bacterial small subunit ribosomal RNA", at positions 30 to 507 of the family's 1533-position model. The record is from RNAcentral.
AUUGAACGCUGGCGGCAUGCUUUACACAUGCAAGUCGAACGGUAACAGCACUUCGGUGGCUGACGAGUGGCGAACGGGUGAGUAAUACAUCGGAACGUGCCUAGUAGUGGGGGAUAACUACUCGAAAGAGUAGCUAAUACCGCAUGAGAUCUAAGGAUGAAAGCAGGGGACCUUCGGGCCUUGCGCUACUAGAGCGGCUGAUGGCAGAUUAGGUAGUUGGUGGGAUAAAAGCUUACCAAGCCGACGAUCUGUAGCUGGUCUGAGAGGACGAGCAGCCACACUGGGACUGAGACACGGCCCAGACUCCUACGGGAGGCAGCAGUGGGGAAUUUUGGACAAUGGGCGCAAGCCUGAUCCAGCAAUGCCGCGUGAAGGAUGAAGGCCUUCGGGUUGUAAACUGCUUUUGUACGGAACGAAAAGCCCUCUUCUAAUACAGGAGGGUCAUGACGGUACCGUAAGAAUAAGCACCGGCUAACUACGUG